This 2990-nucleotide long non-coding RNA is filed under the name Homo sapiens (human). RNAcentral's name for it is "long non-coding RNA NONHSAT198824.1". Lineage: Eukaryota; Metazoa; Chordata; Mammalia; Primates; Hominidae. The record is from RNAcentral.
ACCAAGAGAGCGGGCAGACAGAUUUUAUGUGAGAGAAAAGUUGGAUGCUCACGCUCCAUGGAGCAUCCUCGCGUUUCCCGGGGAAAAGCGGAUCCCGGAGAAGCAGCCUAAUCUCUCAGCCCUUGUGGAGAAGGGAAUAUCAGAAGCAGGACGAAAGCCAGGUCAAGUCUCUUUCCUUAGGCUCCCCAAAGGGACAAGUACUCACCUCCCAGAGACCUGGCCCAGCGGGUCCUCAUGGCAGCACCACCCCCUCCCGGUGCCCACGACCAUUCGUCUCCCAUCCGGCGUUCUCCAGGAUUUCCAAAGACGCCCGUUUAGAUCCACAGGGCUGGAAGACAGCUGUUCCUGGAUCACACCAGAAUGGAGAAGCAAGCUCCUCCCACUAGCAGAAAGCCUUUGCUUUCUGUGCCUGGAUUCGGAAGAUUAGUUAAGCACUGGAAGAGGAGGGGGGAAACAACAACUCGUUUUUGCUGUAUGUUUUUUUUUUAAUUGUUUUUAUAUUUAUAGAAAGUUAUGCUUUGUCUGAUUCUUGCGCUAAUUUGGGUUCUGAAAUUUGAGUAAAAUCAAAUUUAAACAUACAAAACAACUUUAAAACCACAAGGAACAGGAAGCAAAUGAUUAUACAUAAAAGACAUAUAGAAGAUAAUGCAUAUGUGUUCAGUGGAAAAUAGAAAAGCAUGAAAGUAAGAUCACAAAUAUUUAUUAUUUAAACUCUUCCUUGAACUAUUGGUCUGCCCUUUGGAAAAGCAGACUUUCCUUAAUGCAGUAGCUCAUAUUAAUAUUUUUUGUUUGCUUAGGACCAGAGCAAGAAGGUUGGACUUGGGAGCUAGUUUGCUGUCUGGCUUUGAGACCUUGAACAAGUUUUGUUCUCCUUCUGUUUCCAGUUUUCUUUUUUGUAAAUUAGGAGAUUAACUCAUGUGAUCACUCUAUUUUCAACUUUUUGUUAUGGGAAAUAUUCAAACAUAUGCAAAAGUAGACAGAAUAAAGGACUCUCAUGUGAAGAUCAUCCAACUUUUACAUUUUUUCAAUGCAUGGCUGAUCAUGUCUCAUCCAUAAGUCCACUCACUUUAUCACUACCAAUCCUCCCUCUUUUUUUUUUUUUUUUACCAAAUUCAAGCUUUAUAUAUAUCUUUUCAGCUGUAAACAUUCAGUAUGCAUCCACAAAAUUUAAGGACUGUUUAAAAAUAACCACAAUAUCAUUAGAUGAUUCUUUAAAAUUGCAGUGUAAUUUACACCUAGGGAAAUGCUCAGAUGUUGUGUCCCUUUAAAUCAGUUUUGAAAAAGCCAUGCAUUAGUGUAACCCACACUAUUUUGAAGACACAGGACAUUUUCAUCAUUCCAGACAGUUACCUUGUACCUUCAUGUGCAUAUUCUAGAAUGUCAUAAAGAUCUAAUCACGUAGUAUAAACUUUGUUUUAUAUUUGUCUGACUUCUUUUACUCAGUAUAAUAUUUGUGAGGUUCGUUCAUGUCGUUGCAUGAAUGGGUGUUUUGUUUUUUAUUGCUUUUUGUUGUUUCUUUUUACUACUGUUAAUAGUAUAAGUUUUCCAUUGUGCCUCUUUACAACUAGUAUCUCAAUAGAGUAUUACAACAAUUAUUUAAUAUAUUAUUUCACAUGACAUAUUUAUAGUAUAACCAUGACCUCCUUGAGACCUAGUGCUUUAAGUCAAAGAGGUAAAUAAAAUGAGAUAUUUUAGGUCUCAUUACAACAGACCAAUGUGAGAGAAUUAUUUCUGGACAGUUGCACUUCUUAUAAACGUUUAACAUGAUUCCAAACUUUUAUUUGGUAAUUUGUUAGUCCUUUGGCAAAGGACUAAUGUACUAUGUUAUUUAGUCAUAACAAGCAGAUCAAUUACAUUUUAUGUAACUUUUAUAGACAGAGAAACUGAGCUCCAAGAGUUUUGGUGAUAUGCUGAGAUCACCUAGCUAUUUUAAGUGGCAGAGCUGAGACAAUUUAGCAGAAACUGUUACAGAAGGCACAAUUGUCUCCUGAAUUAGCAGUUUGUGUCUGAAGCCUCACAGAUUGGGUGUGGUAAAGAGUGAGAAGGAAAAAGGUAGAACCCAGCUGUGUUAGAAAUAGCCUUCAAAUUUGGAUGUGACAAUGGAAAUCAAGAAGAACUUAUGUUAUUAUGAAACAGUUCAUUCAUAUUUAAAGUUUUGCCUUUUCUAUAUUGGUAUUCCUCAAUAGGGGGAGAUGAUUUCUUACUACCUACAAAAAAAGAAAACUGUAAACUAAUUUCGUUGUCAUUUUGAAUUACAACUAUAUGUUUAACUCUUGUCACUCCUUAAAAUGCCUUGAACACAGUAAACAUCCAAUGAACUUUUAAUUACACAUAAUAUUGAUAGUGAUAUUGCAUAUGUUCUAGGUCUGUAUUCUUAAGGAGGGAAAGCUGCUCAAGUACAAAGAAGGGAACUAGAAGUUAAAAUAAAGUUUUUUUAAUUUUUCUUUUCAUUAUUGAUGGACAGCAUGGUCUUCAGUAAAUCUUUAGCCUCUCUGAAUAUAACGUUAAACUAAUUGAAUGGCUUGUACCUCAUAAGAAAUAUGAAGUUAUGAAGUAAUAACAUAUUUGGAAGCAUUACUAACAUGCAUAUUCUGUUCAUAACUACAAUAUUCAUGUUUUGUUUUCUCUUUGCUAAGUGAAAUAUAAAUAUUUUACCAGACCAUUUAGAAAGAAAAAAACACAUUAAUGAGCCCAAGAAAUACACGCAACUCUGCAACUCUGGAGAUUUCCACCUGUUCCCAUCCUCCACAGUCUCCCAUCCCACCAGCAACACACGUGAGAUAUCUGAUGCCUUCCCAUCAAUAACUCUCACUUAGUAUGGGUAAGCAAAAAAUUUCCAACCAGGGAUGGAAGUUGUGGAGAGAUAGAGUGGGAAAGCUCAAGGAGCAUUGAUAGGGAUCAUUAAUUAAAAAUCUACCAAACAUCUCUUUCUCUCCCUAAUGUGCGAGUUACAAUAACAUCACUCAAAGCAGUUUGCAGCCACAGCUUGA